RNAcentral lists this ribosomal RNA (465 nucleotides) under uncultured bacterium. Its description in RNAcentral is "partial 16S ribosomal RNA". It matches the Rfam family "Bacterial small subunit ribosomal RNA", at positions 338 to 795 of the family's 1533-position model. The record is from RNAcentral.
CCUACGGGGGGCAGCAGUAGGGAAUCUUCCACAAUGGGCGCAAGCCUGAUGGAGCAACACCGCGUGAGUGAAGAAUGGUUUCGGCUCGUAAAGCUCUGUUGUUGGAGAAGAACGUGCGUGAGAGUAAGUGUUCACGCAGUGACGGUAUCCAACCAGAAAGUCACGGCUAACUACGUGCCAGCAGCCGCGGUAAUACGUAGGUGGCAAGCGUUAUCCGGAUUUAUUGGGCGUAAAGCGAGCGCAGGCGGUUGCUUAGGUCUGAUGUGAAAGCCUUCGGCUUAACCGAAGAAGUGCAUCUGAAACCGGCAGACUUGAGUGCAGUAGAGGACAGUGGAACUCGAGGUGUAGCGGUGGAAUGCUUAGAUAUAAGGAAGAACACCAGUGGCGAAGGCAGCUGUCUGGUCUGCAACUGACGCUGAGGCUCGAAAGCAUGGGUAGCGAACAGGAUUAGAUACCCGGGUAGUC